GCCAGAUGGAAGAGAGGUAUAGGGUAGAUGUAUGUGGGAAGAAGUGUGGAGUUUUCUUGCUCCCUGGGCGCAGCACUCUCCCUACAUUUCCAUGUGUUCACCAACCUGAAGUUCUCUGAACCCCAUCCUUUUGAGUUUUUAUGGAGGCUUCACUAUGUAGGCAUGAUUGAUGAAAGCCAUUGGCCACUGGUGAUCGAACUCAAUCUCCAGCCCCUCUCCCUGCCCCAGAGGUCAGAAACUGGGGUGGGAAGAGACUGAAAAUUUCAGCCCUCUGAUCUCAAGGGUGGUUCCCCUGGCAACCAGCCCCUAUCCUUAGGGGCUUUCCAAAGUCACCUCAUUAACAAACUCAGAUGUGGUUCAAAGGGGCUUGUUAUAAAUAAAACACUCCUUUUGCCUUUAUGGCUCUGGAACCAUUUCAGGAACCAAGGACCAAAGACCAAAUACUAUAACUUGCUUUUUCUUCAUUCCCAAUGUUCCAAGUUUCCUUUUGGUAUUAUUUCUCUACUUUCUGAAGAACAUCCUUUAGCUGUUCCUUUAAAGCAGGUCUGCUGGCUAUCAAUUCUCUUAGUUUUCCUUUAUCUGAGAAUGUUCUUUAUUUCACCUUCAUUCCUGAGGGAUAUUUCACUGGUUAUAGAAUUCUGAGUUGACAUUUAUUUUCUUUCAGCACUUUAACAAAUAUGCCACUUCGUUCUGGCCUCCACAAUUUCUGAUGAAAAAAUUCACUGUCACUUGAAUUGUUCCCCUAUAGGCAAUCUUUCAUUUUUCUCUGGCUGCUUUCAAGAUAUCUUUUAGUUUUCAACAUUUUAUGAUGUAUCCGGGCUAGGAUCUCUUUGGGUUUAUCCUUGGGGUUCACUCAGCUUGAUUUGGGAAGUUUUUAGCCAUCAUUUCUGCAGGUGUUUUUAAAGCACUACACUCUUUUAUCAUUCUGUGACUCCUAUGAUGUGACCCUGAAACUCUUUUUUCCUUCUUCUCUGUUGUUUAGAUUGGAUGAUUUGUGCCGAUCUAGAGCUUUCCUCCUCUCCAUUCUGCUAUUGAGUCUAUCCAGUGAGGGUUUUUUAAUUUCAGUUAUGGUAUUUUUCAAUUCUAAUAUUUUCAUGUGGUUCUUCUAUUUCUUUACUGACAAUUUCUAUUUUGAUACUUAUUUUGAGAGUGUGUGUGAUUGCUCAGUUGAAGUUUUUAAUAAUAGCUUCCUUAAAGUCUAUAAUGGCAUCUGUUGAUUGUCUUUUUCCAUCAGAGCUAUUUUCAUGAUUCUUCAUAUGCUGAGUAAUUUGGGAUUGUAUGCUAGACAUUGUGAAUAUUACGUGAUAAGAUGAAGCAAAUCCCCUGGAGAAUGUUGAUAUUUUUGUUUUAAUAAUCGAUCUGGUCAGGUUCAGUUUUCAAAGCCUCUGCAGUGCUUUUGGGACCUGGCCUAUGUAUACACCAUCUUGCGGUCAGGCUGAGAUCCCAGGAGGGGUCUGUCAGCUCAGAUCUCACAAGUGUUUGGUAUGCUAAUUAGGAUCAGCUCCACAGGUAAACAGUGUGAGUGAGGUGCACAAGUCAAGGGUGAGCCAGAGUUCAAUAACUUUGUGGAACUACUUCCUUGAGCUCUUCCCUCUCUGCUGUCUCACCAGUACUUUCUGGUUCCUUGGGGCUCCCUUGUUUGGCCCACCAGCCUGAAACUGCCCAUUUCUGUAACUGAGGCCUGUCCUUCAGAGAUGAAAAAAGCACACAGACUCAGCCUCACCCUCUUGGUGCCUCAGCUCUACCAAAUGGAGAUUAAGCCCUCCUCCCUCAGACUCUUGGCUCCUGCAGGCUCCCAUUGGCAGCCAGGGGAUUACCUGGGGGCUCCAGCAUGAAAAAUGAAAAGAGAGGAAACAAAAGGCAUUUCCCUCAUUCUCUCUGUUUCAGCCAUUCCUUUCCUGUUCCUCAAGCCAGGCUUCUCUAGGAUCUGUGUACCACUGCUCACUUCUGCAUGUGGGGCCAUGUUGUGUUCAGGCCGGGAGAUACCAGAGGAAUAAAAAAAUGGUAAACUCACCACUUCAGUUAUACUUAGAAUUCUGGUGUUCCUCCCCACUCUGUGUGUUGCUGUUUACUUCUGAGUCCUCCAAUAGCCAGGCCAUAUGUUCUACCCAGGUUUUAUAGUUGUGUUCAGUGAGAACAAAAGGAGGGUGUGUGUCAACUCCAUCUGACCUGGAACUCGAACCUUCCCUAAGAUAUUAAGUGAAAAAAAGUUAUAGAAUGUGUAUAGUGUUAUUCUAUAUUUUUGAAAAAAAAAAAAAAAUGUGUCUAUGUACCUCCACAGAAAAGUGCUUAGAAAAAAAGGUCUGGAAGUUUACACAACAAACUUAACACUGGUAUCCUCUAAGAGGGGUGGAGAAUUUUGGUGAGGGGAUGGUAUUGAAAGAAACUUUCACUUUUCAUACCUCUUUCUGAAUUAUUUUAACCAUGCACUAUUACUUUUGUAAUUUUCAAAACAAUAGGAAGGUGUGACGGAAAUGACUGGGAAAAUGUUAUAGUUCAACUGAAAGUAUAUAUACAGAAAGUAUCUUUUGCUGAAUGUACCUAAUGUAUCUUGCUAAACAUUUAAUGAAAGAUCCAUUUAGGAGUCAGUGUGAUCAUAUGUUUUCUUCAACCAUUGAUGUACUAAUCAG
This is a long non-coding RNA of Equus caballus (horse), 2630 nucleotides long. The record is from Ensembl. NCBI's taxonomy places the organism in Eukaryota, Metazoa, Chordata, Mammalia, Perissodactyla, Equidae.